Molecule: ribosomal RNA, 429 nt
Filed under: Acidobacteriota bacterium
Lineage: Bacteria; Pseudomonadati; Acidobacteriota
Description: Acidobacteria bacterium partial 16S ribosomal RNA
Rfam family: Bacterial small subunit ribosomal RNA
Source: RNAcentral
CGGGGAAUUUUGGACAAUGGGGGAAACCCUGAUCCAGCCAUCCCGCGUGUGCGAUGAAGGCCUUCGGGUUGUAAAGCACUUUUGGCAGGAAAGAAACGUCAUGGGUUAAUACCCCGUGAAACUGACGGUACCUGCAGAAUAAGCACCGGCUAACUACGUGCCAGCAGCCGCGGUAAUACGUAGGGUGCAAGCGUUAAUCGGAAUUACUGGGCGUAAAGCGUGCGCAGGCGGUUCGGAAAGAAAGAUGUGAAAUCCCAGAGCUCAACUUUGGAACUUCAUUUUUAACUACCGGGCUAGAGUGUGUCAGAGGGAGGUGGAAUUCCGCGUGUAGCAGUGAAAUGCGUAGAUAUGCGGAGGAACACCGAUGGCGAAGGCAGCCUCCUGGGAUAACACUGACGCUCAUGCACGAAAGCGUGGGGAGCAAACAGG